RNAcentral lists this ribosomal RNA (589 nucleotides) under Meloidogyne graminicola. RNAcentral's name for it is "partial large subunit ribosomal RNA". It matches the Rfam family "Eukaryotic large subunit ribosomal RNA", at positions 441 to 891 of the family's 3401-position model. Lineage: Eukaryota; Metazoa; Nematoda; Chromadorea; Rhabditida; Meloidogynidae. The record is from RNAcentral.
CACGCCCUUCUUUAGUUGUAUUUUUUAGCUUUGAGCUCCAGAUUGGGACAGAGUUAAAUUAUAUAGAUUAUUUGUGAUGCAUUUACUUGCUUGGUGCGUGGGGAUUUCUGAGACAGAUUUGUGCCCUACGUUUUGAGGCCAGCUUGCUGGUACCCGAAUGUGGUUAGCAAUUUUUGUUUUAGUUGUAAAAAAAGUAUGGCUUACGGACUUUAUGUGGAUUGAUUUGGUUGUAAGUUACGGUCGCAUGCGACACGUGCUUUUCAAUCUUUUCGGUCUGUGUAAUGUUCUCAUACUUAUUCCCCAUGUAAAAGCCGGUCAUCUAUCCGACCCGUCUUGAAACACGGACCAAGGAGUUUAUCGUGUGCGCAAGUUUUUGGGUGUUUAAAACCUAAAGGCGAAAUGAAAGUAAAUGACUCUUCGAGUCUGAUGUGCGACCUUUUCUUUUUGAAAAGUGCAGCAUGGCCCCAUUCUAACUGUUUACAGUAGGGUGGAGGAAGAGCGUACGCGGUGAGACCCGAAAGAUGGUGAACUAUUCCUGAGCAGGACGAAGCCAGAGGAAACUCUGGUGGAAGUCCGAAAGCGGUUAACU